RNAcentral lists this ribosomal RNA (438 nucleotides) under uncultured bacterium. Its description in RNAcentral is "bacterial SSU rRNA". It matches the Rfam family "Bacterial small subunit ribosomal RNA", at positions 943 to 1382 of the family's 1533-position model. The record is from RNAcentral.
GGUUAAUUCGACGCAACGCGAAGAACCUUACCAGGGCUUGACAUCCCCUGACCGCGUAUGAAGUACGUUUCACCUCGGGUGACAGGGAGACAGGUGGUGCAUGGUUGUCGUCAGCUCGUGUCGUGAGAUGUUGGGUUAAGUCCCGCGACGAGCGCAACCCCUGUGGUUAGUUGCCAGCAAGUAGCGUUGGGCACUCUAGCCAGACUGCCGGUGAUAAAUCGGAGGAAGGUGGGGACGACGUCAAAUCAUCAUGCCCUUUAUGUCCUGGGCUACACACGUACUACAAUGGCCGUUACAACGGGAAGCGAAGGAGCAAUCCGGAGCAAAUCCCUUAAAGGCGGUCCCAGUUCAGAUUGUGGGCUGAAACUCGCCCACAUGAAGGCGGAAUUGCUAGUAAUUGCAGAUCAGCAUGCUGCAGUGAAUACGUUCCCGGGCCUU